UACGAACCGGACAAACGUUAUUCGGAAUCACUGGGCUUAAAGAGUACGUAGGCGGCCGCGCAAGUUGGGUGUGAAAUCCCACGGCUCAACCGUGGAACUGCGCUCAAAACUGCGUGGCUAGAGGGAGACAGGGGUGAGCGGAACAGAUGGUGGAGCGGUGAAAUGCGUUGAUAUCAUCUGGAACACCGGUGGCGAAGGCGGCUCACUGGGUCUCUUCUGACGCUGAGGUACGAAAGCUAGGGUAGCGAACGGG
This 253-nucleotide unclassified non-coding RNA is filed under the name uncultured Pirellulaceae bacterium. RNAcentral's name for it is "contains 16S-23S intergenic spacer region". It matches the Rfam family "Bacterial small subunit ribosomal RNA", at positions 524 to 776 of the family's 1533-position model. The record is from RNAcentral. Lineage: Bacteria; Pseudomonadati; Planctomycetota; Planctomycetia; Pirellulales; Pirellulaceae.